This 1127-nucleotide ribosomal RNA is filed under the name Salmonella enterica. RNAcentral's name for it is "partial 23S ribosomal RNA". It matches the Rfam family "Bacterial large subunit ribosomal RNA", at positions 711 to 1751 of the family's 2925-position model. The record is from RNAcentral. Lineage: Bacteria; Pseudomonadati; Pseudomonadota; Gammaproteobacteria; Enterobacterales; Enterobacteriaceae. RNAcentral also lists the same sequence under 2 other names.
AGACCCGAAACCCGGUGAUCUAGCCAUGGGCAGGUUGAAGGUUGGGUAACACUAACUGGAGGACCGAACCGACUAAUGUUGAAAAAUUAGCGGAUGACCUGUGGCUGGGGGUGAAAGGCCAAUCAAACCGGGAGAUAGCUGGUUCUCCCCGAAAGCUAUUUAGGUAGCGCCUCGUGAAUUCAUCUCCGGGGGUAGAGCACUGUUUCGGCUAGGGGGCCAUCCCGGCUUACCAACCCGAUGCAAACUGCGAAUACCGGAGAAUGUUAUCACGGGAGACACACGGCGGGUGCUAACGUCCGUCGUGAAGAGGGAAACAACCCAGACCGCCAGCUAAGGUCCCAAAGUCAUGGUUAAGUGGGAAACGAUGUGGGAAGGCCCAGACAGCCAGGAUGUUGGCUUAGAAGCAGCCAUCAUUUAAAGAAAGCGUAAUAGCUCACUGGUCGAGUCGGCCUGCGCGGAAGAUGUAACGGGGCUAAACCAUGCACCGAAGCUGCGGCAGCGAACGUAUCACCCAAGACAACUUUACGGAGUUGACGAUUGACGGAGCGAAGCGACGUCAAAGCGUUCAUUAAAGUCGAGUUGGCUUAGGGAUACGUUCGUUGGGUAGGGGAGCGUUCUGUAAGCCUGUGAAGGUGUGUCGUGAGGCAUGCUGGAGGUAUCAGAAGUGCGAAUGCUGACAUAAGUAACGAUAAAGCGGGUGAAAAGCCCGCUCGCCGGAAGACCAAGGGUUCCUGUCCAACGUUAAUCGGGGCAGGGUGAGUCGACCCCUAAGGCGAGGCCGAAAGGCGUAGUCGAUGGGAAACGGGUUAAUAUUCCCGUACUUGGUGUUACUGCGAAGGGGGGACGGAGAAGGCUAUGUUGGCCGGGCGACGGUUGUCCCGGUUUAAGCGUGUAGGUGUGUGUUCCAGGUAAAUCCGGUUCACUUUAACACUGAGGCGUGACGACGAGGCACUACGGUGCUGAAGCAACAAAUGCCCUGCUUCCAGGAAAAGCCUCUAAGCAUCAGGUAACACGAAAUCGUACCCCAAACCGACACAGGUGGUCAGGUAGAGAAUACCAAGGCGCUUGAGAGAACUCGGGUGAAGGAACUAGGCAAAAUGGUGCCGUAACUUCGGGAGAAGGCACGC